RNAcentral lists this unclassified non-coding RNA (339 nucleotides) under soil metagenome. RNAcentral's name for it is "partial contains 5.8S ribosomal RNA, internal transcribed spacer 2, and large subunit ribosomal RNA". The stretch from base 1 to 120 matches the Rfam family "5.8S ribosomal RNA", at positions 35 to 154 of the family's 154-position model. The record is from RNAcentral.
GAUGAAGAACGAAGCGAAAUGCGAUAAUUAAUGUGAAUUGCAGAAUUCCGUGAAUCAUCGAGUUUUUGAACGCAUAUUGCGCCCCUUGGUAUUCCGAGGGGCAUGCCUGUCCGAGCGUCAUUGCAACCCUUCAAGCACGGCUUGUGUGUUGGACGGCCGCCCCAGUGUGGGCGGGUCCCAAAUGCAGUGGCGGCGCCGCGAUCCGGGUGCUCGAGUGCAUGGAAACCACGCGCUCGUUAGGCCCCGUCGGGCGCCGGCCGACCUAAUUAUCUUCGUUCUGGUUGACCUCGGAUCAGGGAGGAAUACCCGCUGAACUUAAGCAUAUCAAUAAGCGGAGGA